Long non-coding RNA from Bradysia coprophila, 262 nucleotides. Lineage: Eukaryota; Metazoa; Arthropoda; Insecta; Diptera; Sciaridae. The record is from RefSeq and is a predicted model, not a curated record.
CGCUGACCUUAUCAUAUGCUUCGCUCUAUUUCUAUGUAGAACUGACGUAUUUCGCUUUAGUCUAAAAAUGUAGCUCAAACGAACAAUAAUAACUAUUAGUUAUACUGUUGCUUCCUGUGUCGCUUCUCUUGUAGGUAAUUUCGCUGACUAUACUCGGUAUAGUGGCUAACAUUUUGUGUGAUUUUGAUGGUACUUCAGCAAUUGCAUAAAAAUGUUAAGAUUGACAAAAUGUUGGUCCUCUGUUACUUACGAGUUAUUUAAU